GACGUAGGAUGCAAGCGUUGUCCGGAAUUAUUGGGCGUAAAGAGUUCGUAGGCGGUUGCCUAAGUCUGAUGUUAAAUACUGGAGCUCAACUCCGGCAUGGCAUUGGAAACUGGGCGGCUAGAGUGUGGUAGAGGUCUCGGGAAUUCCAGGUGUAGCGGUGAAAUGCGUAGAUAUCUGGAGGAACACCGGUGGCGAAGGCGGCAUCCUGGACCAAUUCUGACGCUGAGGAGCGAAAGCCAGGGGAGCAAACGGG
This 253-nucleotide ribosomal RNA is filed under the name uncultured bacterium. RNAcentral's name for it is "partial 16S ribosomal RNA". It matches the Rfam family "Bacterial small subunit ribosomal RNA", at positions 524 to 776 of the family's 1533-position model. The record is from RNAcentral.